UACGUAGGGUGCAAGCGUUGUCCGGAAUUAUUGGGCGUAAAGAGCUUGUAGGCGGUUUGUCGCGUCUGCUGUGAAAUUUCGGGGCUCAACCCCGAACUUGCAGUGGGUACGGGCAGACUAGAGUGUGGUAGGGGAGACUGGAAUUCCUGGUGUAGCGGUGAAAUGCGCAGAUAUCAGGAGGAACACCGAUGGCGAAGGCAGGUCGCUGGGACGGUACUGACGCUGAGGCGCGAAAGCGUGGGGAGCGAACAGG
This 253-nucleotide ribosomal RNA is filed under the name uncultured bacterium. Its description in RNAcentral is "partial 16S ribosomal RNA". It matches the Rfam family "Bacterial small subunit ribosomal RNA", at positions 524 to 776 of the family's 1533-position model. The record is from RNAcentral.